This 253-nucleotide ribosomal RNA is filed under the name uncultured bacterium. RNAcentral describes it as "partial 16S ribosomal RNA". It matches the Rfam family "Bacterial small subunit ribosomal RNA", at positions 524 to 776 of the family's 1533-position model. The record is from RNAcentral.
UACGGAGGGGGCAAGCGUUGUUCGGAAUUACUGGGCGUAAAGGGCUCGUAGGUGGCCAACUAAGUCGGACGUGAAAUCCCUCGGCUUAACCGGGGAACUGCGUCCGAUACUGGUUGGCUUGAGUUUGGGAGAGGGAUGCGGAAUUCCAGGUGUAGCGGUGAAAUGCGUAGAUAUUCGCAAGAACACCAGUGGCGAAGGCGGCUUGCCAGAAUGCGCUCGACGGUGAGGGAUGAAAGCUGGGGGAGCAAACCGG